Long non-coding RNA from Anser brachyrhynchus (Pink-footed goose), 1883 nucleotides. Lineage: Eukaryota; Metazoa; Chordata; Aves; Anseriformes; Anatidae. The record is from Ensembl.
CACGGAUCCUAGUGAGUCCAGAUUUAACUACACUGACAACUCAUUAUUGAAAGCGCUCGUGUGCUCUCAGUGACCAAAGCUGCUCUGGCAGACUUGUCUCUCUGGAUUUAUCAUUAACAUUUACAUUCUCGGGCUGCUAAAUAAUUCAGUAUAGCAUUUAGCCUUAUGUCCUUGCCUCUCUACCCAGAAGCUGCCCUCACUGUUUACUGUAUGUUCCAGCAGCAGGGAAGAAAAACCUGUCCGGACCCUCAGUGCUUCCUCACACUCUGCAACUGAGAGGGAACUUUCACUCUUGACAUAGAAGUUAUUAUUUUUUUGUUGGAAAAGUGCUUAUUAGAUACCUAAAUACAGGCGGUUAUUUAUCCACAUGGAGCCAGGACGAUAUGGUUUCAGCUUCCCAUGCAAAUUCCCCUUUUAAUAAUCCUAAUGCGGGGAGCUCUCCAAUCAGAGCGCUAUCAGCCACGGCGCCCUGAUACCUGAUGCCAGCUUUGCUGGUAAUGUAGGCCACUGAAGCAAAUCCAGGGAGAUUGAGUUGGAAGUGGAGAGAGAAUCAGAGAUCUGUUUGCAUGGCUUCCUGACGGGGGGUGGGGGUCUAAUUUUUUAUUUAUUUAUUUUCUUUCCUCAGUGCUGGAAAGGAGAGAUACAAUUUCCAAGCGAUCAUUAGCUGAGAGCAGCCCAGCUGGGUUGAGGCUGGGAGGCGGGGACGUGGUGGCAAGCAGCGAAGCAAGGUGGAGGCACGAAGGCAGAAGACCAGGUAGAUGAAAGCAUGAGGUGGCUCCUAGGCAGCAACUGGAGGAAAUUCGGACAUGCUGACAGGGGGAUCUACGACUGGCUAAACAAUGAGACAAGUGGGCCACUGCUGGAAACAGAGCUCCAGAGCAGACAACAGAUAAGUUCAACCAAAGAAGACAUAGAGCCAUUUCUGUGCAUCAUAUUGCCUGCCACCAUGAUGCUCUUCCUGGCAUUCCUGCUGCUCUUCCUUUACCGCCGCUGCCAGCGCCCCACCCCACAGGGGCAGAUCUUCAGCAUCGACCUCCCUGAGGCCCUGCCUGAGCACGAGGUGCCCAAUUUCCUUUCCGUGCUGCCCUGGACCAGUGAACAGAGUUUCCACUACUCCACUCUGCUCCCUGAUGCCACAUUCCUCUCUGUAUGUUUGCCUCCAUCCUAUGAGGAGGCCACCAUGAAGACUACCCUGGAUGAUGCUCACAUUGAGCUCUCUCCAGGUCCAGUGCCUCCUUAUGAAGAGAGCAUGGCACAUCCAGCAGCACCAAAUAAACUUCCUACAGAAGCACCUUAGCUGAAGCAUGCGGCCCCUCACGGCACAAACAUGGAUCUGCUAUGGCCUUUAAAAUUAGCAAAAAAUCCAAAUGAGCCAAAGUCAGUGAAUUAUGAAGGAAGAAACUUGAAGUAACAGGGAAUGAGCCUUUUCACCUCAUUCUAGGAUUCUCUAUCUUCCACUUGUAGCAAGGCUACAUGCACAGUGUGACAGCAAAUCAGUUCUAGGCUGUUAAUGUUGGAAUUUGAGAAAACCGAGUACGUCAUACAACGAUUAAACUUACAGACAGAUGAGAAUCUGCCCAUCUGAAAUCUCUCAGCUGCCAAGAAACAUAACAUUGAUGGUUGGACUUCAUGAUCUUGACUGUCUUUCCCAGCCUAGAUGAUUCUAUGAUAAGUUAUGCUACAGAUUCAGCAGUCACAAAAAGGGCUCCUGGCACGAAUCUAUUCCAGUUUGCUUUUUUUCUACUUCAUGUGUUUAUUUUUAAUUGAAUUUCUGACAAGCUGAUUUACUUAAUCAGCAUGUAUAAACAUUGCAUAUCAUUCUGCAGUGCUCUGUAAUGAACACAGCUCUCAGGAAAGCAAAUAAAUCUCUAAAAAAAAUUCCA